UACGUAGGGGGCAAGCGUUGUCCGGAAUCAUUGGGCGUAAAGAGCGUGUAGGCGGCUCGGUAAGUCCGCUGUAAAAGUCCAGGGCUCAACCCUGGAAAGCCGGUGGAAACUGUCGAGCUAGAGUCCGGAAGAGGCGAGUGGAAUUCCUGGUGUAGCGGUGAAAUGCGCAGAUAUCAGGAGGAACACCAAUAGCGAAGGCAGCUCGCUGGGACGGUACUGACGCUAAGGCGCGAAAGCGUGGGGAGCGAACAGG
This 253-nucleotide ribosomal RNA is filed under the name uncultured bacterium. Its description in RNAcentral is "partial 16S ribosomal RNA". It matches the Rfam family "Bacterial small subunit ribosomal RNA", at positions 524 to 776 of the family's 1533-position model. The record is from RNAcentral.